GCUGGCGGCAGGCCUAACACAUGCAAGUCCGAGCGGUAGAGAGAAGCUUGCUUCUCUUGAGAGCGGCGGACGGGUGAGUAAUGCCUAGGAAUCUGCCUGGUAGUGGGGGAUAACGUUCGGAAACGGACGCUAAUACCGCAUACGUCCUACGGGAGAAAGCAGGGGACCUUCGGGCCUUGCGCUAUCAGAUGAGCCUAGGUCGGAUUAGCUAGUUGGUGAGGUAAUGG
RNAcentral lists this ribosomal RNA (227 nucleotides) under Pseudomonas sp. SK256-N3. RNAcentral describes it as "partial 16S ribosomal RNA". It matches the Rfam family "Bacterial small subunit ribosomal RNA", at positions 35 to 263 of the family's 1533-position model. The record is from RNAcentral. Lineage: Bacteria; Pseudomonadati; Pseudomonadota; Gammaproteobacteria; Pseudomonadales; Pseudomonadaceae.